GGUUAAGCGACUAAGCGUACACGGUGGAUGCCCUGGCAGUCAGAGGCGAUGAAGGACGUGCUAAUCUGCGAAAAGCGUCGGUAAGGUGAUAUGAACCGUUACAGCCGGCGAUGUCCGAAUGGGGAAACCCAGUGUGAUUCGUCACACUAUCGUUAACUGAAUACAUAGGUUAACGAGGCGAACCGGGGGAACUGAAACAUCUAAGUACCCCGAGGAAAAGAAAUCAACCGAGAUUCCCCCAGUAGCGGCGAGCGAACGGGGAGCAGCCCAGAGUCUGAAUCAGCUUGUGUGUUAGUGGAACGGUCUGGAAAGUCCGACGGUACAGGGUGAUAGUCCCGUACACCAAAAUGCACAGGCUGUGAACUCGAAGAGUAGGGCGGGACACGUGGUAUCCUGUCUGAAUAUGGGGGGACCAUCCUCCAAGGCUAAAUACUCCUGACUGACCGAUAGUGAACCAGUACCGUGAGGGAAAGGCGAAAAGAACCCCGGCGAGGGGAGUGAAAAAGAACCUGAAACCGUGUACGUACAAGCAGUGGGAGCACCUUCGGGUGUGACUGCGUACCUUUUGUAUAAUGGGUCAGCGACUUAUAUUCUGUAGCAAGGUUAACCGUAUAGGGGAGCCGCAGGGAAACCGAGUCUUAACUGGGCGUUAAGUUGCAGGGUAUAGACCCGAAACCCGGUGAUCUAGCCAUGGGCAGGUUGAAGGUUGGGUAACACUAACUGGAGGACCGAACCGACUAAUGUUGAAAAAUUAGCGGAUGACUUGUGGCUGGGGGUGAAAGGCCAAUCAAACCGGGAGAUAGCUGGUUCUCCCCGAAAGCUAUUUAGGUAGCGCCUCGUGAACUCAUCUUCGGGGGUAGAGCACUGUUUCGGCUAGGGGGUCAUCCCGACUUACCAACCCGAUGCAAACUACGAAUACCGAAGAAUGUUAUCACGGGAGACACACGGCGGGUGCUAACGUCCGUCGUGAAGAGGGAAACAACCCAGACCGCCAGCUAAGGUCCCAAAGUCACAGUUAAGUGGGAAACGAUGUGGGAAGGCACAGACAGCCAGGAUGUUGGCUUAGAAGCAGCCAUCAUUUAAAGAAAGCGUAAUAGCUCACUGGUCGAGUCGGCCUGCGCGGAAGAUGUAACGGGGCUAAACUGUGCACCGAAGCUGCGGCAGCGACACUUAGGUGUUGUUGGGUAGGGGAGCGUUCUGUAAGCCUGCGAAGGUGGCCUGUGAGGGUUGCUGGAGGUAUCAGAAGUGCGAAUGCUGACAUAAGUAACGAUAAUGCGGGUGAAAAGCCCGCACGCCGGAAGACCAAGGGUUCCUGUCCAACGUUAAUCGGGGCAGGGUGAGUCGACCCCUAAGGCGAGGCCGAAAGGCGUAGUCGAUGGGAAACAGGUUAAUAUUCCUGUACUUGGUGUUACUGCGAAGGGGGGACGGAGAAGGCUAUGUUAGCCGGGCGACGGUUGUCCCGGUUUAAGCAUGUAGGCGGAGGUUCCAGGUAAAUCCGGUACCUUUUAACGCUGAGGUGUGAUGACGAGGCACUACGGUGCUGAAGUAACAAAUGCCCUGCUUCCAGGAAAAGCCUCUAAGCAUCAGGUAACAUUAAAUCGUACCCCAAACCGACACAGGUGGUCAGGUAGAGAAUACCAAGGCGCUUGAGAGAACUCGGGUGAAGGAACUAGGCAAAAUGGUGCCGUAACUUCGGGAGAAGGCACGCUGAUAUGUAGGUGAAGCCCCUGCGGGUGGAGCUGAAAUCAGUCGAAGAUACCAGCUGGCUGCAACUGUUUAUUAAAAACACAGCACUGUGCAAACACGAAAGUGGACGUAUACGGUGUGACGCCUGCCCGGUGCCGGAAGGUUAAUUGAUGGGGUUAUCCGUAAGGAGAAGCUCUUGAUCGAAGCCCCGGUAAACGGCGGCCGUAACUAUAACGGUCCUAAGGUAGCGAAAUUCCUUGUCGGGUAAGUUCCGACCUGCACGAAUGGCGUAAUGAUGGCCAGGCUGUCUCCACCCGAGACUCAGUGAAAUUGAACUCGCUGUGAAGAUGCAGUGUACCCGCGGCAAGACGGAAAGACCCCGUGAACCUUUACUAUAGCUUGACACUGAACAUUGAGCCUUGAUGUGUAGGAUAGGUGGGAGGCUUUGAAGCGUGGACGCCAGUCUGCGUGGAGCCAACCUUGAAAUACCACCCUUUAAUGUUUGAUGUUCUAACGUUGGCCCCUUAUCGGGGUUGCGGACAGUGUCUGGUGGGUAGUUUGACUGGGGCGGUCUCCUCCCAAAGAGUAACGGAGGAGCACGAAGGUUAGCUAAUCCUGGUCGGACAUCAGGAGGUUAGUGCAAUGGCAUAAGCUAGCUUGACUGCGAGCGUGACGGCGCGAGCAGGUGCGAAAGCAGGUCAUAGUGAUCCGGUGGUUCUGAAUGGAAGGGCCAUCGCUCAACGGAUAAAAGGUACUCCGGGGAUAACAGGCUGAUACCGCCCAAGAGUUCAUAUCGACGGCGGUGUUUGGCACCUCGAUGUCGGCUCAUCACAUCCUGGGGCUGAAGUAGGUCCCAAGGGUAUGGCUGUUCGCCAUUUAAAGUGGUACGCGAGCUGGGUUUAGAACGUCGUGAGACAGUUCGGUCCCUAUCUGCCGUGGGCGCUGGAGAAUUGAGGGGGGCUGCUCCUAGUACGAGAGGACCGGAGUGGACGCAUCACUGGUGUUCGGGUUGUCAUGCCAAUGGCAUUGCCCGGUAGCUAAAUGCGGAAGAGAUAAGUGCUGAAAGCAUCUAAGCACGAAACUUGCCCCGAGAUGAGUUCUCCCUGAGACUUUAAGUCUCCUGAAGGAACGUUAAAGACGAUGACGUUGAUAGGUCGGGUGUGUAAGCGUAGCGAUACGUUGAGCUAACCGAUACUAAUGAACCGUGAGGCUUAACCUU
This 2905-nucleotide ribosomal RNA is filed under the name Klebsiella aerogenes. Its description in RNAcentral is "23S ribosomal RNA". It matches the Rfam family "Bacterial large subunit ribosomal RNA". The record is from RNAcentral. Lineage: Bacteria; Pseudomonadati; Pseudomonadota; Gammaproteobacteria; Enterobacterales; Enterobacteriaceae.